RNAcentral lists this long non-coding RNA (819 nucleotides) under Ananas comosus (pineapple). RNAcentral describes it as "long non-coding RNA (ACOM_LNC044276)". The record is from RNAcentral. Lineage: Eukaryota; Viridiplantae; Streptophyta; Magnoliopsida; Poales; Bromeliaceae.
AGGGCUACUAUACUCUUAUGAGUAUAGAGUCCUUCGUACUCAUAAGUUGUUUUAGAUGAUGGAGCUUCCGAAUUGACAAUCCACUCCGUUAAAUAUAAUCUAGAGUAUUUGAAACUUCUAGAAAAUAAAUUUCGUAAUUUUUCAAAAUCAUAAUAAAGUCCAUCAAGCGGGCAUAAAAUGAACGGUUUAAAUCGAACGACGUCCUAAAAAUAAAUGAUUGGAUCCUUCAAUUUAAGAUCCGAGUUAUUGAUCUUUAUCUAGGUAGUGAAUAAAAUUUUCUAUCAAAAAUUCAACCGAUUCCGAUUCUUUUAUACUGUUAAACUAGCAAAUAUCCUAUACCGGCCGUUAAAAAUUGUCAAUUUUGUGAUCUUUUGAUCGUAAGGUAAAUGAUGUCGAAAAAUUAUAAAAUUUGAUUUCUAGAAGUUUUAAAUGCUCUAGAUAACGUUUAACGGUAUGAAUCGUCGAUUCGGAAGCUCUAUCAUUAAAAACGACUUAUGAGUAUAAGGGUGAUCAUACUUAUAAGAAUAUAAUAGUCGGAUUCUCUCUCUCUCUCUCUCUCUAUAAAUAGUUAUAUAUAUAUAUAGUUGGGCUAGAAUACUAUUAAUAAUAUUUGCCCCCUUGUGCUAUUAAGUUUUUAGUCUUUGAAUUAAUUUUUUUGAUUAUUUUUAACUAUCGGAUUAAAUAUUAUAAUCCAGUGGGAGACCACUCAGCCCUAAAGAAUUAAUAUUAUCCUUAUCCUAUAAUUUUUCACCCAAUAAUUAAAAACUUGAUAACAAAAUGAGCCAAAUACUAUUAAUAGUAUUCCAGCCCAAUAUUAAU